Molecule: ribosomal RNA, 1150 nt
Filed under: uncultured Flavobacteriaceae bacterium
Lineage: Bacteria; Pseudomonadati; Bacteroidota; Flavobacteriia; Flavobacteriales; Flavobacteriaceae
Description: bacterial SSU rRNA
Rfam family: Bacterial small subunit ribosomal RNA
Source: RNAcentral
GGACGAAAGUCUGAACCAGCCAUGCCGCGUGCAGGAUGACUGCCCUAUGGGUUGUAAACUGCUUUUAUAUAGGAAGAAAAACUUUCUCGUGAGAAAGCUUGACGGUACUAUAAGAAUAAGGAUCGGCUAACUCCGUGCCAGCAGCCGCGGUAAUACGGAGGAUCCAAGCGUUAUCCGGAAUCAUUGGGUUUAAAGGGUCCGUAGGUGGACAAAUAAGUCAGAGGUGAAAUCCUGCAGCUCAACUGUAGAACUGCCUUUGAUACUGUUUGUCUUGAGUUGUUAUGAAGUGGUUAGAAUGUGUAGUGUAGCGGUGAAAUGCAUAGAUAUUACACAGAAUACCGAUUGCGAAGGCAGAUCACUAAUAAUCAACUGACACUGAUGGACGAAAGCGUGGGUAGCGAACAGGAUUAGAUACCCUGGUAGUCCACGCCGUAAACGAUGGUCACUAGCUGUUUGGACUUCGGUCUGAGUGGCUAAGCGAAAGUGAUAAGUGACCCACCUGGGGAGUACGUUCGCAAGAAUGAAACUCAAAGGAAUUGACGGGGGCCCGCACAAGCGGUGGAGCAUGUGGUUUAAUUCGAUGAUACGCGAGGAACCUUACCAGGGCUUAAAUGUUAGGUGACAGAUCUAGAAAUAGAUUUUUCUUCGGACACUUAACAAGGUGCUGCAUGGUUGUCGUCAGCUCGUGCCGUGAGGUGUCAGGUUAAGUCCUAUAACGAGCGCAACCCCUGUUGUUAGUUGCCAGCGAGUAAUGUCGGGAACUCUAGCAAGACUGCCAGUGCAAACUGUGAGGAAGGUGGGGAUGACGUCAAAUCAUCACGGCCCUUACGUCCUGGGCUACACACGUGCUACAAUGGUAGGUACAGAGAGCAGCCAAUGCGCGAGCAUGAGCAAAUCUAUAAAACCUAUCUCAGUUCGGAUCGGAGUCUGCAACUCGACUCCGUGAAGCUAGAAUCGCUAGUAAUCGGAUAUCAGCCAUGAUCCGGUGAAUACGUUCCCGGGCCUUGUACACACCGCCCGUCAAGCCAUGGAAGUUGGGAGUGCCUGAAGUCCGUUUCCGCAAGGAUCGGCCUAGGGUAAAAUCGAUAACUAGGGCUAAGUCGUAACAAGGUAGCCGUACCGGAAGGUGCGGCUGGAACACCUCCUUUCU